CCGCGUGUAUGAAGAAGGCCUUCGGGUUGUAAAGUACUUUCAGCGGGGAGGAAGGCGACAGGGUUAAUAACCCUGUCGAUUGACGUUACCCGCAGAAGAAGCACCGGCUAACUCCGUGCCAGCAGCCGCGGUAAUACGUAGGUGGCAAGCGUUGUCCGGAUUUAUUGGGCGUAAAGCGAGCGCAGGCGGUCUGUCAAGUCGGAUGUGAAAUCCCCGGGCUCAACCUGGGAACUGCAUUCGAAACUGGCAGGCUAGAGUCUUGUAGAGGGGGGUAGAAUUCCAGGU
This 285-nucleotide ribosomal RNA is filed under the name uncultured Enterobacteriaceae bacterium. RNAcentral describes it as "partial 16S ribosomal RNA". It matches the Rfam family "Bacterial small subunit ribosomal RNA", at positions 397 to 674 of the family's 1533-position model. Lineage: Bacteria; Pseudomonadati; Pseudomonadota; Gammaproteobacteria; Enterobacterales; Enterobacteriaceae. The record is from RNAcentral.